CAAGGGUCAGCACGGCAGGGAGGAGAGCGCCGACGCUGGUGAGGGAGUCCGUGCCAGCGAGAGUGGCGCCAGGGCAGGGGUCGCGGGUGUAGAGGAGUCUGCCAUGAGGGGGAGGAACGGCGGUGCGGUGGAGGUGCUACGGAACUGGGAGGGAGGCGAGGAGUCGCGGCAUCCUGGGCGGUCGAGGAAGCAGGCGACGCAUCUCCCUAGGCGGUCGGGGAAGCAGGCAGGUGCUGGGAAUGCGAGGCUUGACGUUGUUGGCGAGGUAGAACUUGGGUGCGGUGGCAACGGCCGACUGGCUUCUCGGUCUUGGGGAAGGCAUCGCCAGUCUUGGCCUUGAUGACCCAGAGCCCACGACGGUGUUACGUGUGCGACUGUG
RNAcentral lists this unclassified non-coding RNA (379 nucleotides) under Zea mays. RNAcentral describes it as "misc RNA Zm00001eb284650". Lineage: Eukaryota; Viridiplantae; Streptophyta; Magnoliopsida; Poales; Poaceae. The record is from RNAcentral.